RNAcentral lists this ribosomal RNA (745 nucleotides) under uncultured bacterium. Its description in RNAcentral is "bacterial SSU rRNA". It matches the Rfam family "Bacterial small subunit ribosomal RNA", at positions 33 to 773 of the family's 1533-position model. The record is from RNAcentral.
ACGCUGGCGGCAGGCUUAACACAUGCAAGUCGAGCGGUAGAGAGAAGCUUGCUUCUCUUGAGAGCGGCGGACGGGUGAGUAAUGCCUAGGAAUCUGCCUGGUAGUGGGGGAUAACGUCCGGAAACGGACGCUAAUACCGCAUACGUCCUACGGGAGAAAGCAGGGGACCUUCGGGCCUUGCGCUAUCAGAUGAGCCUAGGUCGGAUUAGCUAGUUGGUGGGGUAAUGGCUCACCAAGGCGACGAUCCGUAACUGGUCUGAGAGGAUGAUCAGUCACACUGGAACUGAGACACGGUCCAGACUCCUACGGGAGGCAGCAGUGGGGAAUAUUGGACAAUGGGCGAAAGCCUGAUCCAGCCAUGCCGCGUGUGUGAAGAAGGUCUUCGGAUUGUAAAGCACUUUAAGUUGGGAGGAAGGGCAGUAAAUUAAUACUUUGCUGUUUUGACGUUACCGACAGAAUAAGCACCGGCUAACUCUGUGCCAGCAGCCGCGGUAAUACAGAGGGUGCAAGCGUUAAUCGGAAUUACUGGGCGUAAAGCGCGCGUAGGUGGUUCGUUAAGUUGGAUGUGAAAUCCCCGGGCUCAACCUGGGAACUGCAUUCAAAACUGACGAGCUAGAGUAUGGUAGAGGGUGGUGGAAUUUCCUGUGUAGCGGUGAAAUGCGUAGAUAUAGGAAGGAACACCAGUGGCGAAGGCGACCACCUGGACUGAUAUUGACACUGAGGUGCGAAAGCGUGGGGAGCAAAC